ACUCAAGAAAAGAAUCUUAGUUCAACCUAAAGCCCUCACAAUACAAUAAAAUAACCACUCAACUUUAGAGCUACUCAAUUAAGUUACAGCUUAAAUGAGACAGGACACAACCUCCACCUAUGGGUAAUACAACUUCACAAUAAUUAAGUAGGCCUAAAAGCAGCCACCUUUUAAAAAGCGUCAAAGCCUCAUUGUAACCCCCUCCCAAAUUCCUUCAACAAACCAAAACCCUACCUCAGUACUGAGUAAUUCCAUUCACAUAUGGAAAGUAUAAUGUUAAAACUAGUAACAAGAAAACACAUUUCUCCUAAAUGUAAGCAUAAGCCAUUACGGAUAAACCAUUGGCAAUUAACUAAACAUAAACCACAGUAACACCUUCAACCCAAGAAAACCUUACUAAAACAACUAUUAACCUUACACAAGAACAUUCUAAGAAAGACUAAAAGAAAAAGAAGGAACUCGGCAAACACCGACUCCGCCUGUUUACCAAAAACAUCACCUCCUGAGCACCCAUAAGAGGCCCAGCCUGCCCAGUGAAAAUUAAACGGCCGCGGUAUCCUAACCGCGCAAAGGUAGCGUAAUCACCUGUUUCCUAAUUAGAGACCUGUAUGAAUGGCACCACGAGAGUCACACUGUCUCCUUUAUUCAGUCAGUGAAACUAAUCUUCCUGUGAAAAAGCAGGAAUUCUAAAACAAGACGAGAAGACCCUUUGGAGCUUAAGACAAAAUAAAAUUAUAUUCUCUUCCACCCCCAACAUCUCCUAUGCACAAUUUUAUUCAGUCUUUGGUUGGGGCAACCUCGGAGUAAAAAAAACCCUCCAAGAUGUCAUGGAACACUCCUAAACAAAAAGCCACAACUUUAUGUAUCAAUAAACUGACACUAUUAGACCCAUAAUUUGAUUAACGAACCAAGUUACCCAAGGGAUAACAGCGCAAUCCACUCUGAAAGUUCCUAUCGACGAGCGGGCUUACGACCUCGAUGUUGGAUCAAGGUACCCCAGUGGUGCAGCCGCUACUAAAGGUUCGUUUGUUCAACGAUUAAAACCUC
This 1047-nucleotide ribosomal RNA is filed under the name Eleutherodactylus marnockii (cliff chirping frog). RNAcentral describes it as "partial 16S ribosomal RNA". It matches the Rfam family "Bacterial large subunit ribosomal RNA", at positions 855 to 2597 of the family's 2925-position model. Lineage: Eukaryota; Metazoa; Chordata; Amphibia; Anura; Eleutherodactylidae. The record is from RNAcentral.